CCUACGUGUGGCAGCGGUGGGGAAUAUUGGACAAUGGGCGAAAGCCUGAUCCAGCCAUGCCGCGUGUGUGAAGAAGGCCUUCGGGUUGUAAAGCACUUUCAGUGGGGAAGAAAGCCUUGGGGCUAAUACCCUCGAGGAAGGACAUCACCCACAGAAGAAGCACCGGCUAACUCCGUGCCAGCAGCCGCGGUAAUACGGAGGGUGCGAGCGUUAAUCGGAAUUACUGGGCGUAAAGCGCGCGUAGGCGGUCUGAUAAGCCGGUUGUGAAAGCCCCGGGCUCAACCUGGGAACGGCAUCCGGAACUGUCAGGCUAGAGUGCAGGAGAGGAAGGUAGAAUUCCCGGUGUAGCGGUGAAAUGCGUAGAGAUCGGGAGGAAUACCAGUGGCGAAGGCGGCCUUCUGGACUGACACUGACGCUGAGGUGCGAAAGCGUGGGUAGCAAACAGGAUUAGAUACCCCUGUAGUC
RNAcentral lists this ribosomal RNA (465 nucleotides) under Vreelandella stevensii. RNAcentral describes it as "partial 16S ribosomal RNA". It matches the Rfam family "Bacterial small subunit ribosomal RNA", at positions 338 to 795 of the family's 1533-position model. The record is from RNAcentral. Lineage: Bacteria; Pseudomonadati; Pseudomonadota; Gammaproteobacteria; Oceanospirillales; Halomonadaceae.